GGGAGUAUAGCUCAGUGGUAGAGCACUUGCCUGCCACAUGUGAGGUCUUGGGUUUGGUCCCCAAUACCACCU
RNAcentral lists this transfer RNA (72 nucleotides) under Heterocephalus glaber (naked mole-rat). It matches the Rfam family "tRNA". From Rfam's summary of the family: Transfer RNA (tRNA) molecules are approximately 80 nucleotides in length. Their secondary structure includes four short double-helical elements and three loops (D, anti-codon, and T loops). The record is from Rfam by way of RNAcentral. Lineage: Eukaryota; Metazoa; Chordata; Mammalia; Rodentia; Bathyergidae.